RNAcentral lists this unclassified non-coding RNA (272 nucleotides) under Tomentella sp. Its description in RNAcentral is "partial internal transcribed spacer region". The stretch from base 1 to 46 matches the Rfam family "Eukaryotic small subunit ribosomal RNA", at positions 1786 to 1831 of the family's 1831-position model. The record is from RNAcentral. Lineage: Eukaryota; Fungi; Basidiomycota; Agaricomycetes; Thelephorales; Thelephoraceae.
AAGUCGUAACAAGGUUUCCGUAGGUGAACCUGCGGAAGGAUCAUUACUGAAUGUCAACAGGAGCUGUUGCUGGCCUUCACAUGGAGGCAUGUGCACGCUCCGUUACACAUCCACUCACACCUGUGCACCCUCUGUAGUUCUGUGGUCGGGGAGGUUCGCCUCCUUGGCUGUGGCUCUACGUUUUUUACACACACUCUGUAUAAGUAUCAUGGAAUGUAUAUGGCGUAUAACGCAAUAAAAUACAACUUUCAGCAACGGAUCUCUUGGCUCUC